GGCAGUGUGGUGUAGUGGUUUGAGUGUUGGACUAUGGGUCUGGAGACAAGGGUUCGAAUCCCUGCUCAGUCA
This is a non-coding RNA of Phrynosoma platyrhinos (Desert horned lizard), 72 nucleotides long. NCBI's taxonomy places the organism in Eukaryota, Metazoa, Chordata, Lepidosauria, Squamata, Phrynosomatidae. The record is from the annotation of a GenBank genome assembly.